GCCCGGGUGGCACAAUUGGCUAGCGCGUGAGACUUUUAAUCUCAAGGUUGAGGGUUCGAGCCCCUCCUCGGGCG
This 74-nucleotide transfer RNA is filed under the name Umbilicaria muhlenbergii. RNAcentral's name for it is "tRNA-Lys (TTT) (tRNA-Lys-TTT-1-1)". It matches the Rfam family "tRNA". From Rfam's summary of the family: Transfer RNA (tRNA) molecules are approximately 80 nucleotides in length. Their secondary structure includes four short double-helical elements and three loops (D, anti-codon, and T loops). Lineage: Eukaryota; Fungi; Ascomycota; Lecanoromycetes; Umbilicariales; Umbilicariaceae. The record is from RNAcentral.